This 253-nucleotide ribosomal RNA is filed under the name uncultured bacterium. Its description in RNAcentral is "partial 16S ribosomal RNA". It matches the Rfam family "Bacterial small subunit ribosomal RNA", at positions 524 to 776 of the family's 1533-position model. The record is from RNAcentral.
UACGGGGGGGGCAAGCGUUGUUCGGAAUUACUGGGCGUAAAGGGCUCGUAGGUGGCCAAUUAAGUCAGGCGUGAAAUCCCCAGGCUCAACUUGGGAACUGCGUCUGAUACUGGUUGGCUUGAAUCCGGGAGAGGGAUGCAGAAUUCCAGGUGUAGCGGUGAAAUGCGUAGAUAUCUGGAGGAAUACCGGUGGCGAAGGCGGCAUCCUGGACCGGCAUUGACGCUGAUGAGCGAAAGCUAGGGGAGCAAACGGG